CAGCAGCGCGGUAAUACGUAGGUGGCAAGCGUUGUCCGGAAUUAUUGGGCGUAAAGGGCUCGCAGGCGGUUUCUUAAGUCUGAUGUGAAAGCCCCCGGCUCAACCGGGGAGGGUCAUUGGAAACUGGGAAACUUGAGUGCAGAAGAGGAGAGUGGAAUUCCACGUGUAGCGGUGAAAUGCGUAGAGAUGUGGAGGAACACCAGUGGCGAAGGCGACUCUCUGGUCUGUAACUGACGCUGAGGAGCGAAAGCGUGGGGAGCGAACAGGAUUAGAUACCCGAGUAGUCCCUGUCUCUUAUACC
This 301-nucleotide ribosomal RNA is filed under the name uncultured bacterium. RNAcentral's name for it is "partial 16S ribosomal RNA". It matches the Rfam family "Bacterial small subunit ribosomal RNA", at positions 509 to 808 of the family's 1533-position model. The record is from RNAcentral.